GAUGAAGAACGUAGCGAAAUGCGAUAAGUAAUGUGAAUUGCAGAAUUCAGUGAAUCAUAGAAUCUUUGAACGCACCUUGCGCCUUUUGGUAUUCCGAAAGGCACACCUGUUUGAGCGUCAUGAAUACCUCAAUCUCCAUCUUUUCUUCGGAUUGAUGGGUGACUUGGAUGUUGAGCCCUGCUGGUAUGCUAUAUCAGCUGGCUUUAAACUUAUUAGCCGGCUCUGUACUGGAUCGGUUUGACUCGACGUGAUAAUAUUAUCGUUGAGGAUGCAUGUCUCAUGCAGCCGGAAAGUAUCAAAGCAGCUUCUAGCUUGCCUUUAGUGCACUUUUACAUUUUAGACCUCAGAUCAGGUGGGACUACCCGCUGAACUUAAGCAUAUCAAUAAGCGGAGGA
Molecule: unclassified non-coding RNA, 395 nt
Filed under: soil metagenome
Description: partial contains 5.8S ribosomal RNA, internal transcribed spacer 2, and large subunit ribosomal RNA
Rfam family: 5.8S ribosomal RNA (bases 1-120)
Source: RNAcentral